GAGCCAGUUUUACAUACAUAGCAAGACCCUCUUGUGAAAAAGAAAAAAAAAAUGAAAAACAGAACAGCAAAGAAAACAAAGAAGAGUAAAGGAAAGACAAAUAAGAUAAAACAAAAGGCCCGAGCGCUUAAAGCCAGCCUACUGGAUCUGUGAAAACAGAGCUCUGGGGUGUCUUUGUAAAGCGAUAAGCGAUCUGGAGUGUGUGAGCUCGCAUUAGUUCUGCUGAGGCUGGGAGAGCAUCACGCUUCUGUAAAGUACAAGUGCGAGCAGAUGGGGCGGUUAAGGAUCAGAGCUGGCUCUCUGACCUCACAGCAACCUUCAGAAAGAGCCAGGCUAUUCUGUUCAUUUUGCACCGGAGCACCAGGCUAUGAAAUAUUAAAAACUGUACUUGGUAAAGUGACUGGGACAAACCCUAAACUAGAGAAAGAACAGUUUAUUAGAGGAGAACAGAAUACAUGUUCAUAGAGCAAUUAGGACAUGAGAAACAAACACUACCGACUGAAUAACAUCAUCAACUGGUUACACACAAUCAAGGAGGUAACAAUUUACACACUUACUGCAGUGAUCUCCCUGUUGGAACUCUUGAAUACUCUUUCAACAACUAAGCUAGCAUCCCAAAUAUUUCUGGAACAAAAAUGUUUUGGUUAUUGUACUGUAAACAAAUACAACCUCUUACAAUAUGCAGUUACUGUCUUGUCUGUACGAACAUGAAGGCUUUAUUCAUUUUUCUUUUCUUUUUUUCAGAGCUGGGGACCGAACCCAGGGCCUUGCGCUUGCUAGACAAGCGCUCUAUACCACUGAGCUAAAUCCCCAACCCCUAUUCAUUUUUUCAAAUGCAGUAAUGACUUAUUUUUAACAUUCUUAAAAAUGAAGCUAGAGACAGUUCAGCAAGAAAACAAACUUGUAGAUGCCUUGUGACCUGAAUGGCAUCCCUAGAAGCCCAGAAAGUGGGAGAUUUUACGAGUGUCCCCGACAUGCACAUCUGCACCACGUCCACACUGCAGCACAUGUACCUCUGCCUCACUGUGCACACACAUCAAUAUAAACACAAUUUUAAGAAAAGAAGGGAAAAACUGGAAACAUUUCAAACAUAACAUUAUUCCAGAAAAUGAAAGUACACUAAAGAAAAACUCAGUGGUUAAGGGCACUUAAUGCUCUAGGGAUCUAGGUUCUGUUCCCAGCACUAACAGGACAGCCAACAGCAGUCCUGUAUCUUACUUCCAGGAGAUCUGGUCACCUCUUCAUGGGCACCAGGCAUACAUGCAGUGAACAUGCAUUCAUGCAGGAAAAAUAUUGUACACAUAAAAUUUUUUUAAAAAAAUCACAACACACACACAUACACCCACCCCCCAUUGAUGAAAGUGUUGAUCCCAACUGGCUAUAAGAUCAGUCCCUACAGUCAUGGCAGCUGAUUAGACAGAAUGGGAGGACUACAAAUAGUGCAACCAUGCUUUAUCCUUCCCUCUAACCACUUCCUGUACAGGACUUCCACACCUGUCCUUUAGAGCAAUGCUGUCUCCUCACCAGUGUCUGAAUAGAAGUUGGACAGAUAAGACAGGUCAGAGAAUGUCACUGUUGUGAACACAGGCAUAGAAGGGCUUUGGAAGUUUCAACCUUCACAUGCAGCAAGAGACACCCACCACCAGCAAGAGACAGAUUGUUGGCUGUCCUAUUAAGAAUGAGACUAAACGGGGUUGGGGAUUUAGCUCAGUGGUAGAGCCCUUGCCUAGGAAGCGCAAGGCCCUGGGUUCGGUCCCCAGCUCCAAAAAAAAGAACAAAAAAAAAAAAAAAAAAAAAAAAAAAAAAAAAAAAAAAAAAGAA
This is a non-coding RNA of Rattus norvegicus (Norway rat), 1821 nucleotides long. The record is from RefSeq and is a predicted model, not a curated record. NCBI's taxonomy places the organism in Eukaryota, Metazoa, Chordata, Mammalia, Rodentia, Muridae.